This 572-nucleotide ribosomal RNA is filed under the name uncultured Glomeromycotina. RNAcentral describes it as "SSU rRNA". It matches the Rfam family "Eukaryotic small subunit ribosomal RNA", at positions 548 to 1114 of the family's 1831-position model. The record is from RNAcentral. Lineage: Eukaryota; Fungi; Glomeromycota.
UUGGAGGGCAAGUCUGGUGCCAGCAGCCGCGGUAAUUCCAGCUCCAAUAGCGUAUAUUAAAGUUGUUGCAGUUAAAAAGCUCGUAGUUGAAUUUCGGGAUUGGCGCAUCGGUCGUGCCUCACGGGGUAUGAACUGGUGCAGUCAAUUUCUCACCUUCUGGAGAACCGCGAUGUCCUUAAUUGGAUGCCGCGGGGAACCAGGACCUUUACUUUGAAAAAAUUAGAGUGUUUAAAGCAGGCAUUUUUGCUUGAAUACAUUAGCAUGGAAUAAUAAAAUAGGACGGCAUGGUUCUAUUUUGUUGGUUUCUAGGACCACCGUAAUGAUUAAUAGGGAUAGUUGGGGGCAUUAGUAUUCAAUUGUCAGAGGUGAAACUCUUGGAUUUAUUGAAGACUAACUACUGCGAAAGCAUUUGCCAAGGAUGUUUUCAUUAAUCAAGAACGAAAGUUAGGGGAUCGAAGACGAUCAGAUACCGUCGUAGUCUUAACCAUAAACUAUGCCGACUAGGAAUCAGACGAUGUUAAUUUUUUAAUGACUCGUUUGGCACCUUACGGGAAACCAAAGUGUUUGGGUUC